ACCAUAUGGCCCAUGGAAAAGAUUUUGCAUCUAGAGGAAUUGAAAUGUCCGAAGUUCGCUUGAAUUUAGACAAGAUGAUGGAGCAGAAGAGUACUGCAGUAAAAGCUUUAACAGGUGGAAUUGCCCACUUAUUCAAACAGAAUAAGGUUGUUCAUGUCAAUGGAUAUGGAAAGAUAACUGGCAAAAAUCAAGUCACUGCUACGAAAGCUGAUGGCGGCACUCAGGUUAUUGAUACAAAGAACAUUCUUAUAGCCACGGGUUCAGAAGUUACUCCUUUUCCUGGAAUCAUGGUAUUUAUGCUUCAUAAUUUACAACCAUUACAACUUUUCUUUAGAAAUACGUUUUAUAAAUUGUUUAUGCUAUUUGUGAACUUUGAGAGAUUUCUGACUGAAAUACUAUGUUUUGAUGGUCAUUCAGCUUUGGGAAGUUACCUGUCUUUAUUCUGCAGUGAUUCUGACCAGCUAUAGAACACUUUAUAUUAAAAUGUGUUUGAAUACAGUAUGAAGUUAAAAUUGACCAUUGCGUUUGGAAUAUUGGAGGAUAAAAUUU
RNAcentral lists this small RNA (549 nucleotides) under Pongo abelii (Sumatran orangutan). RNAcentral describes it as "retained intron". The record is from RNAcentral. Lineage: Eukaryota; Metazoa; Chordata; Mammalia; Primates; Hominidae.